This 372-nucleotide ribosomal RNA is filed under the name uncultured organism. RNAcentral describes it as "partial 16S ribosomal RNA". It matches the Rfam family "Bacterial small subunit ribosomal RNA", at positions 527 to 896 of the family's 1533-position model. The record is from RNAcentral.
GUAGGUGGCAAGCGUUGUCCGGAAUUAUUGGGCGUAAAGCGCGCGCAGGCGGUUCUUUAAGUCUGAUGUGAAAGCCCACGGCUCAACCGUGGAGGGUCAUUGGAAACUGGAGAACUUGAGUACAGAAGAGGAAAGCGGAAUUCCACGUGUAGCGGUGAAAUGCGUAGAGAUGUGGAGGAACACCAGUGGCGAAGGCGGCUUUCUGGUCUGUGACUGACGCUGAGGCGCGAAAGCGUGGGGGAGCAAACAGGAUUAGAUACCCUGGUAGUCCACGCCGUAAACGAUGAGUGCUAAGUGUUAGGGGGUUUCCGCCCCUUAGUGCUGCAGCUAACGCAUUAAGCACUCCGCCCUGGGAGUACGGCCGCAAGGCCG